RNAcentral lists this ribosomal RNA (422 nucleotides) under uncultured bacterium. RNAcentral describes it as "partial 16S ribosomal RNA". It matches the Rfam family "Bacterial small subunit ribosomal RNA", at positions 361 to 775 of the family's 1533-position model. The record is from RNAcentral.
AUUUUGGACAAUGGGGGAAACCCUGAUCCAGCCAUCCCGCGUGUAUGAUGAAGGCCUUCGGGUUGUAAAGUACUGUGGGCAGAGAAGACACGGCAUCUCCUAAUACGAGAUACUGCUGACGGUAUCUGCAGACUAAGCACCGGCUAACUACGUGCCAGCAGCCGCGGUAAUACGUAGGGUGCAAGCGUUAAUCGGAAUUACUGGGCGUAAAGCGGAUGUAGGCAGUUCGGAUAGAAAGAUGUGAAAUCCCAGGGCUCAACCUUGGAACUGCAUUUUUAACUGCCGACCUAGAGUAUGUCAGAUGAGAGAAGAAUUCAACGCGUAGCAGAGAAAUGAGUAGAUAUGUGGAGGAAGACCGAUGGCGAAGGCAACCCCCUGGGAUAAUACUGACGCUCAGAAACGAAAGCGUGGGGAGCAAACAG